Girardinichthys multiradiatus is the source of this 619-nucleotide long non-coding RNA. RefSeq lists it as uncharacterized. The transcript has 3 exons. The record is from RefSeq and is a predicted model, not a curated record. Lineage: Eukaryota; Metazoa; Chordata; Actinopteri; Cyprinodontiformes; Goodeidae.
CGGAGGUUUGACAGGUGUACUUCGUUGCCUCAUCAGCUGGAGGACUAUGUGAGGGUGGUUCCUGGCUCUUCUACACCUGAGUGUUUUGCCUACUGUGGCUGUUCAAGCCAAGCCGCUGAGCUGGGUGUCUCCCUCUGGGACUCACCCCCCGUCAAGAUUGGAUUCUGCUGCGCCUGGCAGCCACCCUUGCAAGUCCUCCAGUCUGGAAGCGCAACCUGUCCACCCACCUUGCUACCUGGAACAUCAGAGCGCUCCAGCAGGUUCUGCGCAGGCUCACGCCCCAGACUUGUACCCGUCUCUCCCCCUGGCGGAUCGAUCGCCUCCUGAAUACCUGACUCCUGACCACUCUGCUCGCCUUGUUCCUGAGACUGAGAAAUAAAACUUUAAAUCUACGCUUCUCUGUCUGAGUGUCCUCUGCAUGUGGGUCAAGUCGGCCUUAAAAACCAUGACAGUUUAUGUUGUCUCUUAAGUCUGUUUUCAUUAUCAGACAUCUACAGCUGCUGUAGCUUCAUGCUGUAACUGCAGAUGUAUCUGUUAUUUAAGUCACUAUAUAUGUAUAACAGAACAAACUUUAUAUAUAUGCAGAAUGAAUAAAGCUUUAACUCCAGUGAGGACCAUA